Molecule: non-coding RNA, 89 nt
Organism: Ceratobasidium sp. 395
Lineage: Eukaryota; Fungi; Basidiomycota; Agaricomycetes; Cantharellales; Ceratobasidiaceae
Source: the annotation of a GenBank genome assembly
GCCGGGUUGGCUCAAUGGUAGAGCAUCGCCCUCCUACCAGCCCUAAUUUGUUGAGGCGAAGGUUGCGGGUUCAAGCCCCGUGCUCGGUA